RNAcentral lists this ribosomal RNA (2502 nucleotides) under Xylella fastidiosa subsp. multiplex. Its description in RNAcentral is "23S ribosomal RNA". It matches the Rfam family "Bacterial large subunit ribosomal RNA". The record is from RNAcentral. Lineage: Bacteria; Pseudomonadati; Pseudomonadota; Gammaproteobacteria; Lysobacterales; Lysobacteraceae.
GGUCAAGCGAAUAAGCGCACAUGGUGGAUGCCUUGGCGGUCAGAGGCGAUGAAGGACGUGGUAGCCUGCGAAAAGUGUCGGGGAGCUGGCAACAAGCUUUGAUCCGGCAAUAUCCGAAUGGGGGAACCCACUGUUUAGGCAGUAUCUUUGAGUAAAUUCAUAGCUCAAGGAGGCGAACCUGGUGAACUGAAAUAUCUAAGUAACCAGAGGAAAAGAAAUCAACAGAGAUUCCCUGAGUAGUGACGAGCGAACGGGGAUUAGCCCUUAAGCUAGUAUGGUUUUAGGAAAGCAAUCUGGAAAGGUUGGCCAUAGAAGGUGAUAGCCCUGUAUCCGAAAGGGCCGUACUAGUGAAAAGGUAGGGGAUGAGGCGUGAUUAGGAGUGAAAAGCUAAUCGAACCCGGAGAUAGCUGGUUCUCCUCGAAAGCUAUUUAGGUAGCGCCUCAUAUGUAUCCUCUCGGGGGUAGAGCACUGUUAUGGCUAGGGGGUCAUCGCGACUUGCCAAACCAUUGCAAACUCCGAAUACCGAGAAGGACUGUAUGGGAGACACACGGCGGGUGCUAACGUCCGUCGUGAAAAGGGAAACAACCCAGACCCACAGCUAAGGUCCCAAAUUCAUAGCUAAGUGGAAAACGAUGUGGAAAGGCAUAGACAGCCAGGAGGUUGGCUUAGAAGCAGCCAUCCUUUAAAGAAAGCGUAAUAGCUCACUGGUCGAGUCGGUCUGCGCGGAAGAUUUAACGGGGCUAAGCUAUGAACCGAAGCUUGGGGUGCAUAUUUUUAUAUGCGCGGUAGAGGAGCGUUCCGUAAGCCUGUGAAGGUGAGUUGAGAAGCUUGCUGGAGGUAUCGGAAGUGCGAAUGCUGACAUGAGUAACGAUAAUAUGGGUGAAAAACCCAUACGCCGAAAGCCUAAGGUUUCCUUGCGCAACGUUAAUCGGCGCAGGGUUAGUCGGCCCCUAAGGCGAGGGCGAAAGCCGUAGUCGAUGGGAAGCAGGUUAAUAUUCCUGCACCUCGCGUGAGUGCGAUGGAGGGACGGAGAAGGCUAGGUGUACCGGGCGUUGGUUGUCCCGGGGAAAGGAGGUAGGCUGGUUCCUUAGGAAAAUCCGGGGGUCCUUUUAAAGCCGAGCACCGAGACGAGUCUUUUUAGAUGAAGUCACUGAUGCCACGCUUCCAGGAAAAGCUUCUAAGCUUCAGCUCACGAAGACCGUACCGUAAACCGACACAGGUAGGUAGGAUGAGAAUUCUCAGGCGCUUGAGAGAACUCGGGUGAAGGAACUAGGCAACAUGGCACCGUAACUUCGGGAGAAGGUGCACCCUUUUUGGUGGCGCGUGCGCGUUAUAGCUGAAGAGGGUCGCAGAAACCAGGCCGCUGCGACUGUUUAUCAAAAACACAGCACUCUGCAAACACGAAAGUGGACGUAUAGGGUGUGACGCCUGCCCGGUGCUGGAAGGUUAAUUGAUGGGGUUAGCUGUAAAAAGCGAAGCUCUUGAUCGAAGCCCCAGUAAACGGCGGCCGUAACUAUAACGGUCCUAAGGUAGCGAAAUUCCUUGUCGGGUAAGUUCCGACCUGCACGAAUGGCGUAACGACAGCGGCGCUGUCUCCACCCGAGACUCAGUGAAAUUGAAAUCGCUGUGAAGAUGCAGCGUUCCCGUGGCAAGACGGAAAGACCCCGUGAACCUUUACUAUAGCUUUACACUGAACGUUGAGUUCGUCUGUGUAGGAUAGGUGGGAGGCUAUGAAACCAUGACGCUAGUUGUGUUGGAGCCAUCCUUGAAAUACCACCCUGUCGUGCUUGACGUUCUAACCUAGUUCCGUUAUCCGGAUCAGGGACAGUGUAUGGUGGGUAGUUUGACUGGGGCGGUCUCCUCCCAAAGAGUAACGGAGGAGCACGAAGGUACGCUCAGCGCGGUCGGACAUCGCGCACUGUGUGCAAAGGCAUAAGCGUGCUUGACUGCGAGAUCGACGGAUCAAGCAGGUACGAAAGUAGGUCUUAGUGAUCCGGUGGUUCUGUAUGGAAGGGCCAUCGCUCAACGGAUAAAAGGUACUCCGGGGAUAACAGGCUGAUACCGCCCAAGAGUUCAUAUCGACGGCGGUGUUUGGCACCUCGAUGUCGGCUCAUCACAUCCUGGGGCUGUAGUCGGUCCCAAGGGUAUGGCUGUUCGCCAUUUAAAGUGGUACGCGAGCUGGGUUCAGAACGUCGUGAGACAGUUCGGUCCCUAUCUGCCAUGGGCGUUGGAGAUUUGAGAGGGGCUGCUCCUAGUACGAGAGGACCGGAGUGGACGAACCUCUGGUGUUCCGGUUGUCACGCCAGUGGCAUUGCCGGGUAGCUAUGUUCGGAAGCGAUAACCGCUGAAAGCAUCUAAGCGGGAAGCGCGCCUCAAGAUGAGAUCUCCCGGGAUGUAAAUCCCCUAAAGGAACCAUGUAGACUACGUGGUGGAUAGGUCAGGUGUGUAAGUGCAGCAAUGCAUUGAGCUAACUGAUACUAAUGAUCCGUGUGGCUUGACCAU